Molecule: non-coding RNA, 166 nt
Organism: Oryza nivara
Lineage: Eukaryota; Viridiplantae; Streptophyta; Magnoliopsida; Poales; Poaceae
Source: Rfam
UGUACGUUUCACUAUCCGUUUUAUAUAAAACUUUUUUAUAAUUAAUAUUUUUAUUAUUGUUAGAUGAUAAAAUAUGAUUAAUACUUUAUGUCUGACUUGUCUUUUUAAUUUUUUUCAUAUUUUUUUCAAAUAAGACGGACGGUCAAACGUGGGAUACGGAAACCCA